Molecule: ribosomal RNA, 301 nt
Filed under: uncultured bacterium
Lineage: Bacteria
Description: partial 16S ribosomal RNA
Rfam family: Bacterial small subunit ribosomal RNA
Source: RNAcentral
CAGUAGCCGCGGUAAUACGAAGGGGGCUAGCGUUGCUCGGAAUUACUGGGCGUAAAGGGAGCGUAGGCGGACAUUUAAGUCAGGGGUGAAAUCCCAGAGCUCAACUCUGGAACUGCCUUUGAUACUGGGUGUCUUGAGUGUGAUAGAGGUAUGUGGAACUCCGAGUGUAGAGGUGAAAUUCGUAGAUAUUCGGAAGAACACCAGUGGCGAAGGCGACAUACUGUAUCAUUACUGACGCUGAGGCUCGAAAGCGUGGGGAGCAAACAGGAUUAGAUACCCGGGUAGUCCCUGUCUCUUAUAA